UGGGGGAUAUUGCACAAUGGGCGAAAGCCUGAUGCAGCGACGCCGCGUGGGGGAUGAAGGCUUUCGGGUUGUAAACCUCUUUCGCUAUCGAACAAGGCCCGCUUAGGGUGGGUUGAGGGUAGGUGGAGAAGAAGCGCCGGCUAACUACGUGCCAGCAGCCGCGGUAAUACGUAGGGCGCGAGCGUUUUCCGGAAUUAUUGGGCGUAAAGGGCUUGUAGGCGGCUUGUUGCGCCUGCUGUGAAAACGCGGGGCUUAACUUCGCGCGUGCAGUGGGUACGGGCAGGCUUGAGUGUGGUAGGGGUGACUGGAAUUCCAGGUGUAGCGGUGGAAUGCGCAGAUAUCUGGAGGAACACCGAUGGCGAAGGCAGGUCACUGGGCCAUUACUGACGCUGAGGAGCGAAAGCAUGGGUAGCGAACAGG
RNAcentral lists this ribosomal RNA (420 nucleotides) under bacterium. Its description in RNAcentral is "partial 16S ribosomal RNA". It matches the Rfam family "Bacterial small subunit ribosomal RNA", at positions 355 to 776 of the family's 1533-position model. The record is from RNAcentral.